RNAcentral lists this ribosomal RNA (320 nucleotides) under uncultured eukaryote. RNAcentral describes it as "partial 18S ribosomal RNA". It matches the Rfam family "Eukaryotic small subunit ribosomal RNA", at positions 1470 to 1796 of the family's 1831-position model. The record is from RNAcentral.
CCCCUAGAUGUUCUGGGCCGCACGCGCGCUACAAUGAACAGUUCAACAAGUCUUAACCUUGGCCGAUAGGUCUGGGUAAUCUUUGAACGCUGUUCGUGAUUGGGAUAGACCUUUGCAAUUAUGGGUCUUCAACGAGGAAUUCCUAGUAAACGCAAGUCAUCAGCUUGCAUUGAUUACGUCCCUGCCCUUUGUACACACCGCCCGUCGCACCUACCGAUUGAAUGGUCCGGUGAAAUCUCGGGACGGCGGCUUGGUCGCUUGCGUCCGACUGCUGAAACUUGAUUAAACCAUAUCAUUUAGAGGAAGGUGAAGUCGUANCA